This 395-nucleotide unclassified non-coding RNA is filed under the name Hevea brasiliensis (rubber tree). Lineage: Eukaryota; Viridiplantae; Streptophyta; Magnoliopsida; Malpighiales; Euphorbiaceae. The record is from RNAcentral.
AGAGAGAGAGAGAGAGAAUUGCUAGAAAGAGUAGAAGCCAAAAACCCCUACAUGAAAUAAGUUUUCAUACAGAUUGCAAAUGGAUGUAAUAAGAUGGUAACUUCAUAUACUUUGUAGCAUUAUAGCACAUAAAUACUAGAAAAUGGGCUAGUCAAAGAUACAGAGAUACUUCAGUCUAAUUAUCUAAAAUCAAAUUAUAACCAUAAGAAAGACUUGGCCCAAAAAUCACACCACUACCAAGUAUCAUUAUAUCAAGUCCAGCACCAUUGCUUAUGCCAAAUCAAAAAACAUAGUGCAUAUUGGAUAAUAAAAUAAAGAAAUCUAAAAGAUAAAAGUAAAAUAACUUUCCAGAACUUAAAAGCAGAUCCCACCUUUGUUAACAUGAUCACAACAAA